CCAUUACUGAGGAGUUCCACAAUUGGACGAAACGGCCGUCCAGUGC
Molecule: non-coding RNA, 46 nt
Organism: Schistosoma curassoni
Lineage: Eukaryota; Metazoa; Platyhelminthes; Trematoda; Strigeidida; Schistosomatidae
Source: Rfam